Long non-coding RNA from Alosa sapidissima (American shad), 1204 nucleotides. RefSeq lists it as uncharacterized. The transcript is spliced from 5 exons. NCBI's taxonomy places the organism in Eukaryota, Metazoa, Chordata, Actinopteri, Clupeiformes, Clupeidae. The record is from RefSeq and is a predicted model, not a curated record.
UUCAGGUCGGCUGAGGCACUGUCCCCUUGAAUGGGCCGACACUGACACGCAGUAGUUGGGCUGAUUACUGAGUGUCUUAUUUGGCCCGAUUGGGGUUUGAUGGGCUACUGCCAGUUUUCGAAUCAAUCUGAUGGAUUUCAUACAGUGUGUGGCCCGAUACUUCAGGAACGAACACUGAUCAGUAUCGCGGCUGUUGGCGGCAAAAAUGAAACAUUUAGCGACAGCCGGACGCUAAACGUACAUGGCCCAAUUCUGUAAAGUGACUGUCGACCCAUUACAUGUGGAAGAGCCACGAGCAGAGCAACUGUUCUGUUUGAAACCAGCAGGACGGCGCGAAACUGUCUCGUUUUGGACACUGCCUGUGAAUCCAGGCCACACUGACCAGAGACCUGCCUGCACUCCUUUGGAUGAAGAAGGCUACCCGUGUAUACAUGUGUGAACCAUUUCUUGUGUUGGAAAAACAGGAGACCUGAAGAGCUCUUGAUGCUUUUGGUUUGCCUCAUCCAUUAUGUCAGCAAAGAACAGGAGUGGGCAGGAAACAUGCGCUGUUGAAAACAUGGCCAACCAACUGGAGCACCCACAAGGCUCUUGUGAAGGAAGUCCACAAGCCUUUGUGCUUCAGGAUGGUUGGAAAGAACUCUUUGAUCAACCCCCACAGAGAGCUGAGGUGGCUAUCUUUUGGAGACACCCCCGGCUGGUAGUGCUGCUGAAACUGGUGGAGGCAACAAUGAAGCGGCAACAGAAAGAGAAGGCAGGUGGCAAAGGUUGCUGCUAUUGAAAAAUACUUUGAGAGUGAGUGUGUGUGCAUGUAUGUAGCUGGGUAGGUCAUGGUACAUGGUACAAAAAUACAGAAUUUAAAGCACUUAACACUUAACUCACAACCCACAACUACUGACAAUGGAAUUACUCUUUUAGAGUGAGUGAGUGAGGGAGAGAGAUAUAAUAUUUCUGUAAAUGUUUAAUGUUAAUUUAGAAUCAUUUAUUUCUUUGAAUCAUUAUACAGUUUUAAAAUGUUUAAUUGUUUGUGUUUUUGUAUAUGAAAGAAGUCGAUUGUUGUAGAUAAAAGUAGAUUGUAUAUUUUAACUUGUUUAAUUUCUAAAGUGUAUAUAUGUAAAAGCUUGUAUAAUUUUUAAAUGUUUGUUUUAUUUGCAAGGUUUUGUUUGUCAAACUUGUUAAUAAAAGUAGCUUGUGCUUUUAAUUACUA